Molecule: ribosomal RNA, 133 nt
Filed under: uncultured bacterium
Lineage: Bacteria
Description: partial 16S ribosomal RNA
Source: RNAcentral
GUUAGCCGGUGCUUCUUCUGCAGGUACCGUCACUUGCGCUUCGUCCCUGCUGAAAGAGGUUUACAACCCAAGGCCGUCGUCCCUCACGCGGCGUCGCUGCAUCAGGCUUUCGCCCAUUGUGCAAUAUUCCCCA